RNAcentral lists this unclassified non-coding RNA (395 nucleotides) under soil metagenome. RNAcentral's name for it is "partial contains 5.8S ribosomal RNA, internal transcribed spacer 2, and large subunit ribosomal RNA". The stretch from base 1 to 120 matches the Rfam family "5.8S ribosomal RNA", at positions 35 to 154 of the family's 154-position model. The record is from RNAcentral.
GAUGAAGAACGUAGCGAAAUGCGAUAAGUAAUGUGAAUUGCAGAAUUCAGUGAAUCAUCGAAUCUUUGAACGCACCUUGCGCCUUUUGGUAUUCCGAAAGGCACACCUGUUUGAGCGUCAUGAAUACCUCAAUCUCCAUCUUUUCUUCGGAUUGAUGGGUGACUUGGAUGUUGAGCCCUGCUGGUAUGCUAUAUCAGCUGGCUUUAAACUUAUUAGCCGGCUCUGUACUGGAUCGGUUUGACUCGACGUGAUAAUAUUAUCGUUGAGGAUGCAUGUCUCAUGCAGCCGGAAAGUAUCAAAGCAGCUUCUAGCUUGCCUUUAGUGCACUUCUACAUUUUAGACCUCAGAUCAGGUGGGACUACCCGCUGAACUUAAGCAUAUCAAUAAGCGGAGGA